CAGCCGCCGCGGGAAUACGUAGGUCCCGAGCGUUGUCCGGAUUUAUUGGGCGUAAAGCGAGCGCAGGCGGUUAGAUAAGUCUGAAGUUAAAGGCUGUGGCUUAACCAUAGUACGCUUUGGAAACUGUUUAACUUGAGUGCAGAAGGGGAGAGUGGAAUUCCAUGUGUAGCGGUGAAAUGCGUAGAUAUAUGGAGGAACACCAGUGGCGAAAGCGGCUCUCUGGUCUGUAACUGACGCUGAGGCUCGAAAGCGUGGGGAGCGAACAGGAUUAGAUACCCCUGUAGUCCCUGUCUCUUAUACA
Molecule: ribosomal RNA, 301 nt
Filed under: uncultured bacterium
Lineage: Bacteria
Description: partial 16S ribosomal RNA
Rfam family: Bacterial small subunit ribosomal RNA
Source: RNAcentral